Molecule: long non-coding RNA, 3033 nt
Filed under: Mytilus galloprovincialis (Mediterranean mussel)
Lineage: Eukaryota; Metazoa; Mollusca; Bivalvia; Mytilida; Mytilidae
Source: RNAcentral
AGUAAGUUUUUGAAAAAGAAUAUAAAGAUCUUUCAAAUUCAAAUGAAGGCCUUUUACCCAUAAUUGGGGAAAACAUAUCUGAUUUUUAGAAAUAUGAUUAUAUAACUUAGAGUGAUAAAAUAAGUAAACACAAUGUAAAAAUGUAAAUACAUUUAAGAUAGAAGUGAACAUUAUAAUAUAAUAUUUUCAUUUCUUUUGUUAUAUCUCACUAGAGUAGGGACAACAACAAAUAACAACUGAGGACACACAUAAAAAGAAACUGGGAAAAAACAGCACCACAUGAUAUUGGAAAAUUGUGACAAAUAAUGGUAUGAUAAUGAAAUAUUGAAUAGAGUUCGCUAACAUAUAAAUGUAACCAAUCCUUGUUAACAAUUGGUAGUGAUGAAUGAACAACUAACAAACUCUAACUGGUGCAGAUUGUUUUUAAAGGUCGAAACAACUUACUUCAGCAACAAGUACAGGAACUCAUAUAACACUGGAAAAUAGAACUUAAGACUACGUACGUAAGGUUUCGAACUGUUUUCAUCUGAUCGUCACUGGUUAGUCUUGUGUGGACGAAACGCUCUUUUGGCGUAUUGAAUUUUAAACCUGGUGCCUUUUGUUAGCUGUUAUUCGUGUGUUUCUCUGUCCUAUAUAUUCUCCUAUUUAUUUGUAUUGUAGUUCUGUAAUGUUAUUAUGUCAUUUGAUGUUAUAUUUAACAUUGCCAUAAAAGCGGGAGUUUUGGCAUGUCACCAAACCUGGUUCAACCCACCAUGUUUAUCUUUAAAAAAAAAUGUCCUGUACCAAGUCAGCAAAAUGGCCACUGUUAUAUUAUAGUUCGUUUCUAUGUAUGUUACAUUUUAAUGUUGUGUUUCUGUUGUGUCGUUUGUAUCCUCUUAUAUUUGAGUGUAAAUUCGCAUUGCUAUAAGACGUGUCACGGUAAUUUUCUAUCCUUAAUUAUGUAUUUAGUUUUGAUGUUAUAUUUGUUAUUCUCAUCGGAUUUUGUCUAAUGCUUAAUUCGUUUCUGUGUGUGUUACAUUUUAAUGUUGUGAUUCUGUUGUGUCGUUGUUCUCCUCUUAUAUUUGAUGCGUUUCCCUAAGUUUUAGUUUGUAACCCGGAUUUGUUUUUUUCUAUCGAUUUAUGAGUUUCGAACAGCGGUAUACUACUGUUGCCAUUAUAUAUAACACAAAGUUUCUUUAUUUUUAUUUAUACACCUAUAUUGAGUUAUGUUCUUUAAGAAUGAAAUAUCAUUUUUUUGAAGAAGCAACACGUACGUUACCAUGUUUCUAUGAAAAGUGCCUCAAAGAAUAAACUUAUGAUCUGAAUCAGGUCAAUUUUUAGCCCGAUUAUGAUUCAAACUUUAAUUUUCUCAACACAUCAUUUGAUAGCAAUCUUGUGUUGUUGUUAAAUGGUUUUUUUCAUUAAAUUUUACAUCGUAAAUAUUCCUUAAAGGUUUUGGACAGAAACAUUAACUCCUGUACCCUAUUAACUAUAUUGAAAUACCAGUUAUUGAACACAUAUUCAACGCACAAUUAUAUAAGAUAAAAUUAUGUAAUGUACUAUCCUCAUUCUCAAUUUUUUAAGAACGUUUUCAUUACCAAGCAAAACAUAGUUCAUUUUAAACAUUGUGAAGAAAUUAUAUUUCUUCGCAGAGCACAUGUCUUAAAACCAGAGAAAAAUAUAAUAAUCAAAAAAAUAUAUGAUAAUCAAAGGUACCAGGAUUAUAAUUUAGGACGCCAGACGCGCGUUUCGUCUACAUAAGUCUCAACAGUGACGCUCACAUCAAAAUAUCUAUACCCCCAUUUUUGGAAAGUUAAUAUGAUAAAUUACUUUCAAAUAAAUUGAUUUUUUAUCAAUCGAAAGAAUUGUUGUACUUCUUAGCGUCACGCAAAUACAGAAAAAAAAUAAACUGUAAAUCAAUCACUAACGUUUACAUGUUCAUAUCUAGAUAAAUAGGUUUUAUUUCAUCAUAUAAUUUAGCCGUUUGGCAUUGUUAUACCUGAUCGCAUUGGCAAAGACUAUCCCUCUUUACUGUGAUAGAUAAGCGGGAUGCAAAUUCCUGAAAAUCGGUCAGUCUUUUAUUUGAGCAACCCUGACAGCCAUAUACGCCCACAAAAUCUUCAAAUAUGCAGCAUCUAAAACAUCAUAACUCAAUAAGUAAGACAAGAGAACACAAAGGCUAAUAUAACAAAAACGGACAGUUCAGAAAACACCACAUAGCGAACUAGAUUGAGCGACGCGUGACAAACACACAAUCAUACAAGAACAUGUGUGAUGAUGCUGAUUAAUGCAUUUUUUUCACAAAUUGAUUGUAAAUAAAAAAAGGUGGUGAUAAGUUGUAUUCGGUUUUACGAAUCGUGUAAUAAGUGUCUACACUUAGUUGUUAAACGCAAUGCUAUCUUAAUAUGAAAUACCGUUGCAAUGUAUUGUACUAACAUAUUGAUAUGAUUGAUAAUGUAUGCGGAAAUAGGUCAUGAAUAUACAUGUAUUUUAUAUACAAUUUUACUUACUGGUACCUAACAUUCUUAAUUUGUCGCAUUCGUAAUGUGUGGAGGACUAUUGUUAAUGACAAGACAACAAGACUGUUCAAGUGUUUAUUAUAUAUAUGUAUCAAUUUUUUAUUGCAGGUCUUAUGGAUUUCCAGAACACUUGGAAAAUUGUUAAGUUACACAUAUACUAUAUCAAAGUAUAUUAAGUAAAAACGAACUAUAGUAAAAUAUAAACAUUGUACCAUUCACGAUGGAUUAGAAACAGUAUAUGAAAGGAAUAAUGAAGCAAACGCGUAAAUGUAUCCAACGAUAACGUCUUUAACUAUGAUGAAAAACCGAUAACAUGAGGAAGUCUGAACCUUACAAACAGGUAUCUAUACUGCAAUAUUCUAUGAGAGAAAUGCAGUUUCAAUAUUGGAAGAAAAACGCAUAAUUGGUAUUGCUAUGAACCACAUUUCAAACCAUUAUUUUCAAUAUUUAUUUGCUGAUAUCAACUUUUUAACAUUAGACAUUCAUCAAAUAUGUAUGUAUUACGAACAUUUUUCGAAAUAUUUAUGCUGGAAAC